Long non-coding RNA from Equus caballus (horse), 6073 nucleotides. Lineage: Eukaryota; Metazoa; Chordata; Mammalia; Perissodactyla; Equidae. The record is from Ensembl.
GGUGAAGUAGGGCCCUGUCACCCUCCUCCUCCUGGCCUGGCUUCAUUCUUCUUCACUGCACUUACUGUCACUUGCAGUUUUAUGUCACAAAUUAUUUAUUUAUUCCACCCCUCCAACCCAGCACCCCCUAGAUGUGAGCUCCAUGAGCUCAGGGAGGGUCUGUCUGGUUCACUUGCCUAGAACAGUACCUGGCACAAACUCAACAAUUUUUUGUGGAAUGAACGAAUGAACAAAAGGAGUCAGGCAGUAGAGGAGGAAGUUUAUGUUUAUGGGGGAAAGUUUGGUGUGAAGACAAACUUAUCAAGGGCAAGCUAAAUAGAUCAUUCUAGGCGGAGGAGGGGAGUGAGAAGUAAUUUAGAAAUGAGAAGGGGCGGGGCCAUCAGGUACAGCCAUGCGGUCUGGCACAUGCGUUGGACGGUGAAUGGUGCCCCCUCCAGUUGUACAGUUCUCAACUUGGACAACAGUACGCGGCGCCCCUGGGGCUAGGGAAGAACACAACAGUUUUGGCCCCCUCAGCUGGGUCCUAGAGAGUGAGGGAGCCUGAGUGGAGGCAGCUCUACAGGUGCCUGCUGCAGGAGGAACAGGCUGUACCCUCCACGAGGACGCCACGUGGUCGCGGUCAGCAGUCUGCCAUCCGGUGGCGUUGUUUCCAUAGACAGCUCAACCAGGGGCAGCAACAGUGCUGCUGUUAACAAUCGCUGGUACCUGGAGCGCCCAGCGGGACACAGGUGGGGAAAUCACCCUGACACACCCCACAAACACACACCAAACGCUGUGGCCAAAGAUAAUCACAGCAGCGGAGGGAGGACUGUUUCCUGAGCCAGCAGUGUGCGCAGGAGGCAGAGGACACUGUGUUCUGAGACCUCUCCACCGAGCAGAGGACUCGCAGGGCUUGUCGGGCAGUGUUAUCAGCUCCUCUGCUUACUUAAUUCCUUGGUUGACAUCACCACCGCCUCCGUCUUCUCCUUCUCUGCGCUGGAGCCUGCAGCCUGGUACAUCCUGCAAGGAAAGGCGGUGGAGGUCUCUCAUUGGCCAGAAGCUACCAGGGCAGGUUUGUCCUCUUGGAACUCUCUCAGGGAGGCAGCCACCAAACGGUAAAGAAGCGUGGGCAGACCAAUGAACGACAAGGCAGCAUCUGGAGAGAGAGAGAGGCCACGUGGAGGAGCUGAGACACUAGAUAUUUUAGUGAAGACUUCUUGGCCUUACCAGCCUUGCCCAGGUGAAGGAGUGAUGCAAGCUGAUGCAGAAGAACCACUCAGCGGAGCCUCACCCAAAUUCCUGAUCCACAAAGUCCUGAGACUUUUUGCUGUUUUAAGCCUCUAAGUUUUGGGGCAGUUUGUUACACAGCAAUAGAUAACUGAGAUGCUUGUAGUAGGUGUGUAAUAAAUGUGUAUGGAAAGAAUGAAUGGCAAAUUACAAUGCCAGCUCUGGUGCUAAUCCCUUACACUGGUCCGGCAUACUCAUUAAGCCUCAAUCACAUCUAUUUUCUGGUGUGAGUCCUGUGAUGGUUCAUUUUAUGUGUUGACUUGACUGGGCCACGAAGUGCCCAGAUAGUUGGUCAAACAUUAUUCUGGAAAGGUAUCUUUGAAUGAGAUUAACAUUUAAUUGGUAGAAUGAGUGAAGUAGGUUGCCUUCCAUAAUGUGGGUGGGCCUUAUCCAAUCAGUUGAAGGCCUGACUAAAACCAAAGGCUGACCCUCCCCUGAGCAAGAGGGAAUUUGCCUACCUGACAGCUUUCAAACUGAGGCACUGGCUUUUCCUGCUUCUACAGCAGCCUGCCAGCCUUCAGACUCCAAAUGGGACAUUGGCUCUGCAGAUCUUGGACUUGCCAGGCUCCAUAACUGCAUAAGCCAAUUCCUUAUCAUAAAUUUCUUUAUCUAUAUAGACAUAUAUAUAUAUAUAUUGGUGGAAGGUAGAACUUGUGAGUGACAACCUUGGAUGUUUAGCAGAGGAGAUUUCUAAGCAAAGGGUUAAAAAUGUGGCCUGGCUUCUCCUUACUGCUUCAAAUAAAAUGUGAGAGGAGAGAGACAAAUUGAAGGAAUUGUUAAGCAAAAAGGAACUAGAACUUGAUGAUCUGGAAAAUUCUCAGCCUAUCCAUGUUGCAAAACUGGGAAAGCACGUCCUGGAGAAAACACCAAGGGCGUGGCUGGACCAUCAUUCCAUUAAGAGAUUACCCGCAAAUUUAAUUAGCCAUCUCAGCUGAAGCCAGGAAUAGAGAUGGGAUUAUACCAGCAGAAGGACUGCCAGCUGGGACUAAACGGGAUAGAGAAAAUGGAAUGAAGGAAGGCUGUCAGAUUUCUGGGAUCUACAGGACGGGACAAUAGAGCUAUCCAGCUUCAAACAUGGUUAGCCUUCAAGAAAAGGGAAAAAAAAAAAUUGAGGCCAGCCCCGUGGCCAAGAGGUUAAGUUCGCGCUCUCUGCUUUGGCGGCUCAGGGUUUCACCGGUUCAGGAUCCUGGGCGCGGACAUGGCACUGCUCGUCAAGCAACGUUGAGGCGGCAUCCCACAUGCCACAACUAGAAGGACCCACAACGAAGAAUAUACAACUGUGUACUGGGGGGCUUUGGGGAGAAGGAAAAAUAAAAAAUAAAAACUAAAGGGAAAAAUGACCCUGAAGGUCAUUCAGAGAACAUCAGGGCUGCCACUCCCACCAUGGGCCCAGGGGACAGAGCUGUUUCCUCCUGGUCCCAGAGACUGGGCCCACUUCCUCAGUUUCAGACAGCCAGGAUGCCACCGCUCAGUGCCUCAGGGGCAAGGCCUCCUGUGCCCAGCAGAGCUGAGGGGGCAGGGCCACUGUCUAGGGCCACGGGGGACAUACUAUGCUCCCAGUGGGCACGGAGAACAGAAUAUCAUUCUGAAGAAGAUUAUUCUGGAGCUUUAAGAUCAAAUGGAAUUUGCCUUGCUAGUUUUGGACUUGCUUGGGACCUGUUACGACUUUCUUCUUUCCAAUUUCUCCCUCUCGGAAUGGCCAUGUCUCUCCUGUGCCUGUCCCACACUGUUGUGUGGAAGCACAUAACUUGUCCGGUUUCACAGGGUCACAGUGGGAGAGGAAUUCCGCCUCAGGAUGAAUCCUACCCUGAGUUGCACCCAUAUCUGAUGUAGAUGACACUGAGUGAGACGUUGGACUUGGGCUGGAUGUGGAACGGGUUAAGACCUUAGGGGCUGUUGGGAUGGGGUGGGUGUAUUUUGCAUGUGAGAAGGAUGUGAAUUUGGGGAGCUAGAUGGCAGGAGGUUAUGGACUGACUUGUGCCCCACCAAAGUUAUAUGUUGAAGCCCUAACCCCCAGUGUGACUGUGUUUGGAGAAAGGGCUUUUAAGGAGGUACUUAAGGUUGAUGAGGUCAUAAGGAUGGGGUCCUAAUCCAAUAGUAGUGAUGUCUUUAUAAGAGACACCAGAGAUCUCUCUGUCCUCAUGUGCACAGAAAAAAGGCCGUGUGACGACAAGGACACAGCAAGAAGGUGCAUCUGUGAGCCGAGGAGAGAGGUCUCACCAGAAACCAAGUCAGCUGGCACCUUGAUCUUGGACAGCCAGCCUCCAGAGCUAUGAGAAAAUAAAAUUCUGUUGUUUAAGCUGCUCAGCCUGUGGUAUUCUGUUAUGGCAGCCCAAGCAGAUGGCUACAACUCCCCACGACAACUGAUGAGUGGGCAGACAUGCAGGCUUGGACUUCCAUUCUGAAGUCCACGAAUCACUGGUUCAAUUGUUCUGGCAAUAUUGAAGUUCUACUAUGGAUCAGAUACUGUAUUAGACACUGGGUUUCAACGGCAAGCAAAAUGGUCACAAUUCCUGUCCUUGUGGAGCUCAAAGUCAUGUGAGGGAGAUGGACCUUCAUCAAACAAUUACUCAAAUAGACAUAAAAUAAUGACAGCGGUGAGUGCUAUAGAAGGAUGUCACCUAGUCAAGAAGGUCAGGGAGGGGCUGGCCCCGUGGCUGAGCGGUUAAGUUCGCGCUCUCCGGUGCAGGCGGCCCAGUGUUUUGUUGGUUCGAAUCCUGGGCACAGACAUGGCACUGCUCAUCAAACCACGCUGAGGCAGUGUCCCACAUGCCACAACUAGAAGGACCCACAACGAAGAAUAUACAACUCUGUACUGGGGGGCUUUGGGGAGAAAAAGGAAAAAAUAAAAUCUUUAAAAAAAAAAAAAAGAAGGUCAGGGAAAAGUUCUUGUUGAAGUGACACCAGACCUCAGAGAUGAAGGGUGAUUAGGAGUAAACCAGGUAAAGAAGGGAAGGAAGGGUGUUCCACGCAGAAGGAACAGCAUGUGCAAAGGAUGCUCCCACCAAGGAGGGAGUUGGUGGGCGUUCAGAGGACUGGAAGAAGGGUCCCCGACCAGAAUGGAGAGAGGAGGGGCAGCGGGACGGCGUUCAAAAAGAGGCUGAUCUCCACACUGGGCAGACCAUGGCAAGGCUUUGUCAUAAGAGCAGUCGGAAGCCACUGAGCUGCCCUAACCUGGGCAUUGGAAAGGUCACCUCUGCAUUUCCAAAAGAUGCCUGUGGCUGCUGUGUGGAGGAAGAGCUGUGGAGACCAAUGUGGAGGCUAUUUCAAGAGUUCAAGAGAGACGUGGAGGGGCUUGGACCAGAGUGGUGGCAACAGAGAUGGAAGGAAGGACUAGACUGAAGAGCUGUUUAUUAAGGAAUCCAGCCACCACACUGUGAAGAAGCCCAAACUAGCCUGCCUGGAGAGACCAAUGGAAACACCCAUGUGGAGAGGAACUGAGGCCCCCAACCUACAGUCAGCACCCACCACGAGCUUUGUGAGUGAAUGAGCCUUCAGAUUAUUCCAAAGUCCAGCCUUGGGUGCCUCCAGCUAAGGCCCUAGACAUCACAGAGCAGAGGACAUAUGCCUUUGGACCUCUGAGUUGCCAGGAGAGAAGUCCAGCUAUUCUGAAGCUGCGUGUGGGAGAGUUCGUGUGCAGAGGCCACAGAGAGACAGAGAGGAACUCCAGCUGGUCCAGCCCUACUUGUUUGAGUCCUCCCAGCCCAGGUGCCACAUAUGUGAGUGAACAAGCCACAGUCACACUCUGACUACAACUUCAUGAGACUCCAAUCCAGAACUGCCCAGCUGAGUUCCCUGUUUCCUGACCCACAGAAACUGUGAAUGGACUUGAAGAUGGAAGAGACCAUAUGGAAGGGACCUGAGAGAGUGCAGCUUCUGGGAGCUGAGACAACCAACAAGGAAACAGCACCUCAGUCUGACAACCACAGGAGCAGACUUCUACAACCCAAAAGAGCUUGGGAGCAGAUCCUUUCUCAGAGCUUCUAGACAUGAGCCCAGCCAGCUCACACCUUGAUUUUGGCCUUGCAAGACCCAGGCAGAGAAUCCAGCUGAGCCCACCCGGACUUCUCACCUGCAGAACUGUGAGAUAAUAAACGGCUGUUGAUUUAAGCUGCCAACUUUGCGGGAGUCUGUUAUGCAGCAAUAGAAAGUGAAUACACUCCUUUCUCAUUUCAUCCCGAGAAGGUCUGUGAGGAGGGUCUGAGGACUCCCCCUUUGCAGACAGGGCAGGCUAAGCGAGGUGCUCAGUUUGCACGUGUCCAGGCUGGGGCUCAGGCCCGGGUCCAGCUGAUUUGAAGGCUCUUUGCACCAUGAAUGCUUCUCUGACCUGAACAGCCACAGAUGAACCUUGGGCACUUGGCCUAAGUCAAGGGUGUCUCGUCUUCCCAUUCAGGGGAAGCAGGGAGGGCUGCAUCUUACACCCCCUUUUAUAAGAACCACCCAGCAGCUCCUUCCACGCCACAGCCUGCAGUCUGCAAAGCUGUCCCAGGCCUGCAUGCCCAGCUGAAGAGCAGAGUUCUGGCAGGAAACAGGAGAAGGGCAGUGACCUCGUCCUCCUCCUUCUCAGAUGACACGUCUGGGCUCUGUCAAGGCAAGAGGCAGGAGCUGGGAUGCAAGGAGCAAUAAAGUUUGGCUGUGGCCUUCCCCACUCCCAGUAAAAAGCAUUCUCUGACUGGCUGGGAUGGGGAUUUUUUAAUUUUAUAUUUGCUCCCAUAAUAAUUUGUUGGACACAUAGUUGAAUACCCCCGGGAGUCCAGAAAUGUUUGCAAGGAGAAAGAUUAUGUUUCUGCUUUAUUGAUUAAAAAGC